UAAGUACAGAGACUGCAAGCGUUAUUCGGAUUCACUGGGCGUAAAGGGUGCGCAGGCGGCAGUGUGUGUGAGGCGUGAAAGCCCCGGGGCUUAACUCCGGAAUUGCGCCUCAAACUACACUGCUAGAGCAUUGGAGAGGGGUAGCAGAAUUCACGGUGUAGCAGUGAAAUGCGUAGAUAUCGUGAGGAAUACCAGAGGCGAAGGCGGCUACCUGGACAAUUGCUGACGCUCAGGCACGAAAGCGUGGGGAGCAAAAGGGAUUAGAUACCCCCUGUAGUCCACGCCCUAAACGGUGCACACUAGGUCUUGGCGGAUUCGACCCCACCAGGGCCCAAGCUAACGCGUUAAGUGUGCCGCCUGAGGACUACGGCCGCAAGGCUAAAACUCAAAGGAAUUGACGGGGGCCCGCACAAGCGGUGGAGUAUGUGGCUCAAUUCGAUGCAACGCGAAGAACCUUACCUGGCCUUGACAUGCAUUAGACCGGCGCUGAAAGGC
This 495-nucleotide ribosomal RNA is filed under the name uncultured Opitutus sp. RNAcentral describes it as "bacterial SSU rRNA". It matches the Rfam family "Bacterial small subunit ribosomal RNA", at positions 520 to 1009 of the family's 1533-position model. The record is from RNAcentral. Lineage: Bacteria; Pseudomonadati; Verrucomicrobiota; Opitutia; Opitutales; Opitutaceae.